UCUAGCCUGCCCUAGUCUUUAUUGCUAGCAGAAUGGAGAGAGUUUUGUUUUUUGUGUCCAUUAAAAUUGUUUAAUUUGUGGACUCCUGGUAACAAGCUCAUGUGGAAGUUUUUUAUUUAAGCAACCUUCAGUUUGGCAUGCUAGUGUUUGAGAAUGGUUAGGCUUGGCUUAAAAUUGCUGUCCCUGCUGACAAUGACUGUCUGUCUCUGUCAGUUAUCUUCUCUCGGCACAACUCCUGCAGAUGCAGUUAAUUUGAAGUACCACAAGGAAACUUUGAUUGGGACUGAAGGCAUGUCUUUGAGGCUCAUUUGUAAAGCAGAAUAUGACAUAAAAGAGUGUGGUCAUAUUAAAGCAUUUUGGUGCUCUCAACAAAAUGUUUCUGAACACUGUCCAGAACUCUUUGAUCCUCAGAAGUACCUUACCGUUGUCAAUGAGACGCUUCUGGAGGGCAUUCAUCUCAGACUUCGACAGAUUGAUGUAGAAAUUAUACAGCUGACCAGUGCUGACCAAGGAAACUAUCAGUGCCGUGCAGAAUGUGAAAUCAAUGGCCAAACUGCCAAUGGACACUUCAAAUAUAUCACAGUCAAUGCUCCCACAGUUAAAACAAUAGCCAACAACAGUGGACCGAACUGGACAUACAACAUUGGACUCAUGUUAUUCUCUUUUGUAAUAUUGGAGUUACUUGAGAUUCAUCAUAGAUCAGACCAAUGAGAUGGUGUUAGCUAAUGGCCCUGCACUUCAAGCUGAAAAUGAGAACAUCAACGAUACAUGUUAUAUCAAACUCAACACAUAUCUAAGGGGAGCCCAUCGUUUAUAUUUAACGGAUGGUAGUUUACACAGCAUUUGAGAAAAGUGUCCAUUGUGUUUUAUAAAUUGCCUUCAGUGGCCUUCCAUGAUGUAUAUUCCAAUCCACACUUAUGGUGCAAAAUCUAAAAUCCGUCCAGAUCUUGCAGAUACCUUGAUUAUGCACUCUUGUUUUAGGUUACCCCACAGGUUAUUUAAUGUCACAGGUGGCCAAAAGCUUGAUGCUGUAGUAAACAAUUUUACUAAGAGUGCCAAUAAUCGUGGAAGGCCCUGUUUGUAGGAAGACAUUCUACAUAAAUGAAAGAUGUCCUUACACAGCUGUUGCAUUUGAAUCAUUUUCCAUGUGGCUGCUAUUUUAUGGGAUAUUUUUCAUGUGUCCAUAUUUCUUUUUUUAUUCUUUGAAUUUGUUCUUUUUUGUGUGGUAGAGUCUGUUUUCUCUAUCGUCUAUAGGUGAAAAUACAGAAUGAAACAGGAAACCACACACAGCGUGUUGGACCAACGAAUACAGGAUGUGGGGAGGGGAAGGGGUCUGCUUCUCAUGUGAUCUUCAUGAACACAUUUCAGUUUGAGAUCAGAGAAAGAUCUUUAACUGUGAACUUUUGCAAAAGAGAUAUCUAUUUUAAGCAGUGAGACAUCUUUAUCAUUGAAGUCCUUGUAACAACUUGCAUUCCAUUUACAAAACUACCUGCCAACUGCAAUGCUUGUUUUCAUGCUUUGAAGGUACAUUGUCCAAAUCUACAAAACAGGACAUAUUUGUGCUUUUAUCGAUAACAUAACAAUAGCAUGAUGUAGAUAAAAUAAAAAAUGACUACAAUACAAUAUAGGAAUACCUAAUAUACCUAUGGAAGAGGCCAGUGAGUUUAUGUUACCUUAUACACUGCCAUUUUAUUAAUCCAUCUUAGUCUAUUAUCAAGUGGGUUUGUUUGAAUUUCAUGAUAAGCAUUUUAUUGUGUUGCCAGAUUCUGUUAUUAAUGCUAACCACACCAUGUUUACCAUAUUUCUUUUACUAUGUUGAGCAGAAUCAUGUGAACCAGGUGAUAUAAGCAAUUACGUUAUACAAAUUUCCAGAAUCAGAAGGCAGUGUUUCCCAACAUGCAAAACAAGUAAUUAUUUGGGGCCCCUUGUAUGGAGGGGGCCCUGUUGCUGCAUAGUACCAAGUAUUACAAAAAGAACUGCAAGCUGACACCCAUUAUAAUAUACACUUUAUAUUUUAAAGACACGGUUUCAUACAUGAUUACGUAGAUAUAAUACAACUCACACACCCUGUUUGCACAUAUACCUAUUUAAAUAUAUAUAUAUUCAACAUGCCUCAUGACCAAUGUUGGGGAACGUUACUUUUCAAAGUAACUAAUAAAAGUUUUUUUGAAAAGUAGUUUCAGUUACCAUGAAGUAGAUAGUUACUUUACUUAGUUACUUGCUGUAAAAAGUAAGACAUUAAAUUACUUAGCCUUUAUUUGAAUAUAGGUGCUUUGAUUCAUGUGUAAAUCAAGAAAUUAUUUUGCAUUGCAAGUGCCUCCACAUUUUCGGGAACAAUGAGCAAUAAAGAAUAAAAAUAACAACUGUAAACAUAUCUUUUCAAAAAUAAAACACUGCUCAUGACACAUUUGAUCUACCUUAGCAAACUGCUUAGCUAAGACAGGUUCAGUCAUUGGAAAAUAGCCAAAUGAAACGUGAAUAUCCUAGUGGAGCUUAAAAAUGAUUAAGUUAAAGAUGACAGGGAAUUCUGCCGAAGCUCACUUGCGACUUAAAAAGUAACACUGCAAAGAAUUCAGAUGAUAAACAAAAUAUUUGUCCUUGUGAAAUCGCCACCAAUUUUCGGCUAAUGUUCCAAGCGGCUAGAUCGGAAGCUGAACAUGUCUUUCCUGAAUCAUUCCAUUAACAAUGUAUGCAUGACCUGAUGGUGAGUGAAGCUGUCAUUCUCUUGGACCACCCAGCGCUUUGGCCACUGUUAUGGAAAUUCUUGAACUAAUGUACAUUUGAGAAAUGUCUGGUUUUCUAUUACCUGAUUUGUAACUCUAGUCUUUGGUUGUGACACACACAUAUGCAUAAUAUCAGAGGAUCACUAGGUACUCUGACCAUCUGUUCAUCUGCCUAAACCAAUAAGGGUAUCUGUCCUUUGUUCCAUAGGAAUGUAGGAGAGGGGGAUCUGGUAUUUGCCUAGGGGGCAUCAUUGACUGGUAUUGGCAGAUUAUAAGGUUGCUCAUUAAUCUGCGCUACUGUAUAACUCAUUGGGGCAUCUAUUGUCUGUCUGGAUGAUGUAAGACCUUUCAGGAGUUGAAGAGGUUACCCAUGUGGGGGAGGACAGCAUGCCCCUUGGUUACAACUUAGGUAGGAAUAGAAUAAAGGGAAUGUGUUCUUUUGAGUUAGGUCAGCUGUGCAGCAACUUAGCACACCCCUUUUAACUGUAAUAAAUAUGGACUGUUCAUGUAUCUACCUCAGAGAUUCCUCAGAGGAUUAUUCUGUAAGCUUUUGACACGUCUCUCUAUUUGCAAAUAAAAUGUUGAUUGUGGCAAGAUAAUUUUGUCUCUAUACUUACUCAUUUAAGAGUGUCUAUCGAUGGAAUUACCAUCACAUUUUGGAGGCUCAUCCUUUGGUUACCUAACCUGGUGUCUUGAACUCAUAUCCUAGCGGGUCAACCGUGCACAGCUGGAGACUGGGUCUCUGGAGCCUAAUUCCUCCCCCGAUUGUAGGCUGGCUACGAAAAAGGUGAAAGUCAGGGCGCCCGGAUGAAAUUAUAUUCGGGAUUUAUCAGUACAGGUACCCAGGCUCAAAUGUUGAACUCAGGAGGUAAGAGCACAAUACAGUUGCGGUUAGACCACAGGGUAAAAAUCUGCAGUAAAGGUUGGACCUUAUUGUUAAAAUCUGCAGUUAAGGUUGGACCUUAUUGUAAACUGUUAACAGUAAGGUGGUAAGGAAUAUCUCGGGAAUGGCUGACGAGCUUAUUAACGCAUGCUGGGCACGUUAAUCGAGGUACCAAGGUGACUGGCAACGGUUGGACCACACCAUUGUUCGCUCUGGAUCUGGCGUUUUUGCCACGCUUAGGUUUGCUGGGUUUAAUGAUGUGCAAGUGCGGCAGUAAAUGUUUGCCGGUCUUUCGUGUUUACGGUGGACCAGCAAAAAUUAUGUCUGAAGUUUAUGAUGUCUGGACAUGUGAACUUUUGUCGCUCUGGGAGUUGUUAGGUUUUCCGGUUAAUGGCGUUUAGUUCGGAGACGGAUGCCUGGCCUACUGGUCAGAUUGGAGCAAUAUGGCCGAGGUAAUGUACAGAAGUUGCAGAAGGUAUAAUAUAAAGUUGUUUGCAAGGCGUAGGCUACGGUAUGUAGAAAGUGUGGACUUGAUGGAAGCUUUAGGAAAGUUUGUGUGGGGUUUAUUGAUCUCUGUGUUGUAGUUAUUUUGCUCAGGUUGGAUGGAUCGUCCCUCUGACGGCCCCAGCCCACCCACGGUGUUCCGCCAGGCAGACGGCUGGGAGGACUGGGACUUUUGCAUAGUCCCUCCCGGCCCGGCGACACUGCAUCGGUGGGGGACAUUUCCCUACAAUCAACGUACCCAACCCCGCUGCUGACUGGGAUAGCCCCUGAUGCGUUUUGCUCCACUUUAGGCGGGUUGUGAGUAUCAGCUGUUGUGGAAAUUCUUGAACUGAUAUAUACUUGGUCCUUUACAUGUAUAAAUGGGUUACUAGUUAAAGGU
Long non-coding RNA from Esox lucius (northern pike), 4489 nucleotides. RefSeq lists it as uncharacterized. The transcript is spliced from 4 exons. NCBI's taxonomy places the organism in Eukaryota, Metazoa, Chordata, Actinopteri, Esociformes, Esocidae. The record is from RefSeq and is a predicted model, not a curated record.